CCUGCGCAACGUUAAUCGACGCAGGGUUAGUCGGUUCCUAAGGCGAGGCUGAAAAGCGUAGUCGAUGGGAAACAGGUUAAUAUUCCUGUACUUCUGGUUACUGCGAUGGAGGGACGGAGAAGGCUAGGCCAGCUUGGCGUUGGUUGUCCAAGUUUAAGGUGGUAGGCUGAAAUCUUAGGUAAAUCCGGGGUUUCAAGGCCGAGAGCUGAUGACGAGUCGUCUUUUAGAUGACGAAGUGGUUGAUGCCAUGCUUCCAAGAAAAGCUUCUAAGCUUCAGGUAACCAGGAACCGUACCCCAAACCGACACAGGUGGUCGGGUAGAGAAUACCAAGGCGCUUGAGAGAACUCGGGUGAAGGAACUAGGCAAAAUGGCACCGUAGCUUCGGGAGAAGGUGCGCCGGCUAGGGUGAAGGAUUUACUCCGUAAGCUCUGGCUGGUCGAAGAUACCAGGCCGCUGCGACUGUUUAUUAAAAACACAGCACUCUGCAAACACGAAAGUGGACGUAUAGGGUGUGACGCCUGCCCGGUGCCGGAAGGUUAAUUGAUGGGGUUAGCGCAAGCGAAGCUCUUGAUCGAAGCCCCGGUAAACGGCGGCCGUAACGAUAACGGUCCUAAGGUAGCGAAAUUCCUUGUCGGGUAAGUUCCGACCUGCACGAAUGGCGUAACGAUGGCGGCGCUGUCUCCACCCGAGACUCAGUGAAAUUGAAAUCGCUGUGAAGAUGCUGUGUAUCCGCGGCUAGACGGAAAGACCCCGUGAACCUUUACUGUAGCUUUGCACUGGACUUUGAGCCUGCUUGUGUAGGAUAGGUGGGAGGCUUUGAAGCGUGGACGCCAGUUCGCGUGGAGCCAUCCUUGAAAUACCACCCUGGCAUGCUUGAGGUUCUAACUCUGGUCCGUAAUCCGGAUCGAGGACAGUGUAUGGUGGGCAGUUUGACUGGGGCGGUCUCCUCCUAAAGAGUAACGGAGGAGUACGAAGGUGCGCUCAGACCGGUCGGAAAUCGGUCGCAGAGUAUAAAGGCAAAAGCGCGCUUGACUGCCAGACAGACACGUCGAGCAGGUACGAAAGUAGGUCUUAGUGAUCCGGUGGUUCUGUAUGGAAGGGCCAUCGCUCAACGGAUAAAAGGUACUCCGGGGAUAACAGGCUGAUACCGCCCAAGAGUUCAUAUCGACGGCGGUGUUUGGCACCUCGAUGUCGGCUCAUCACAUCCUGGGGCUGAAGCCGGUCCCAAGGGUAUGGCUGUUCGCCAUUUAAAGUGGUACGCGAGCUGGGUUUAGAACGUCGUGAGACAGUUCGGUCCCUAUCUGCCGUGGACGUUUGAGAUUUGAGAGGGGCUGCUCCUAGUACGAGAGGACCGGAGUGGACGAACCUCUGGUGUUCCGGUUGUCACGCCAGUGGCAUUGCCGGGUAGCUAUGUUCGGAAAAGAUAACCGCUGAAAGCAUCUAAGCGGGAAACUUGCCUCAAGAUGAGAUCUCACUGGGAACUUGAUUCCCCUGAAGGGCCGUCGAAGACUACGACGUUGAUGGGCUGGGUGUGUAAGCGUUGUGAGGCGUUGAGCUAACCAGUACUAAUUGCCCGUGAGGUUUGACC
Molecule: ribosomal RNA, 1589 nt
Filed under: metagenome
Description: bacterial LSU rRNA
Rfam family: Bacterial large subunit ribosomal RNA
Source: RNAcentral